GGAAUAUUGGACAAUGGGGGAAACCCUGAUCCAGCAAUGCCGCGUGAGUGAAGAAGGCCUUAGGGUUGUAAAACUCUUUCAGCAGGGAAGAUAAUGACGGUACCUGCAGAAGAAGCUCCGGCUAACUCCGUGCCAGCAGCCGCGGUAAUACGGAGGGAGCUAGCGUUGUUCGGAAUUACUGGGCGUAAAGCGUACGUAGGCGGAUUGACAAGUUGGGGGUGAAAUCCCGGGGCUUAACCCCGGAACUGCCUUCAAAACUGUCAACCUAGAGUCCGGGAGAGGUAAGCGGAAUUCCUAGUGUAGAGGUGAAAUUCGUAGAUAUUAGGAAGAACACCAGUGGCGAAGGCGGCUUAAUGGACCGGUACUGACGCUGAGGUACGAAAGCGUGGGGAGCA
RNAcentral lists this ribosomal RNA (395 nucleotides) under uncultured bacterium. RNAcentral describes it as "bacterial SSU rRNA". It matches the Rfam family "Bacterial small subunit ribosomal RNA", at positions 358 to 770 of the family's 1533-position model. The record is from RNAcentral.